UACGUAGGGUGCAAGCGUUGUCCGGAAUUAUUGGGCGUAAAGAGCUCGUAGGCGGUCUGUCGCGUCGGCUGUGAAAACUCGGGGCUCAACUCCGAGCUUGCAGUUGAUACGGGCAGGCUAGAGUGCGGCAGGGGAGACUGGAAUUCCUGGUGUAGCGGUGAAAUGCGCAGAUAUCAGGAGGAACACCGGUGGCGAAGGCGGGUCUCUGGGCCGAUACUGACGCUGAGGAGCGAAAGCGUGGGGAGCAAACAGG
RNAcentral lists this ribosomal RNA (253 nucleotides) under uncultured bacterium. RNAcentral's name for it is "partial 16S ribosomal RNA". It matches the Rfam family "Bacterial small subunit ribosomal RNA", at positions 524 to 776 of the family's 1533-position model. The record is from RNAcentral.